GCCCAUGUGGCUCAGUGGUUGAGCAUCAACCUAUGAACUAGGAGGUCAAGGUUUGAUUCCCAGCCAGGGCA
Molecule: transfer RNA, 71 nt
Filed under: Myotis lucifugus (little brown bat)
Lineage: Eukaryota; Metazoa; Chordata; Mammalia; Chiroptera; Vespertilionidae
Rfam family: tRNA
About the family: Transfer RNA (tRNA) molecules are approximately 80 nucleotides in length.
Source: Rfam by way of RNAcentral